Molecule: ribosomal RNA, 274 nt
Filed under: uncultured bacterium
Lineage: Bacteria
Description: partial 16S ribosomal RNA
Rfam family: Bacterial small subunit ribosomal RNA
Source: RNAcentral
AUACGGAGGGUGCAAGCGUUAUUCGGAAUCACUGGGCGUAAAGGACGCGUAGGCGGGUUGGCAAGUCAGAUGUGAAAUCCUACAGCUUAACUGUAGAACUGCAUUUGAAACUGCUAACCUAGAGUAUGGGAGGGGGAGAUGGAAUUAGUGGUGUAGGGGUAAAAUCCGUAGAUAUCGCUAGGAAUACCGAAAGCGAAGGCGAUCUCCUGGAACAUAACUGACGCUAAGGCGUGAAAGCGUGGGGAGCAAACAGGAUUAGAUACCCGAGUAGUCC